AACUCACACAGCACAGGGGUCUGCUGCGACGGGAUCCACAUCACAAAAUCACCACAGGUGCUGGGCAGGUGGGGAAGACUGAGUCCUGGCCCAGAUUACGGGGUCUGACUUAAUCAAGACCCAUCACUGAAGAUGCAAAAUAAAGGAAGUGAGCAUUAGCCCCCGUUAGGUGCAAGAAAACAAGAACUCGAGUUCCAGGACCUGAGGGCUGUCCUGCACUGCAUCCACUCCUUCAUAGCAGCCAAGGUGGCCUCCGUGGACCCCGGCUUCAUGGACAGUCAGAGUCUUGCCAGAAAAUACAUGUACAGCAGCUAAAGGUUGUUUCUGUUGAGUGCUGAAAAAUUAAAUUAUUUUCGUAAGAAAUGAUUCUUUCCUGCAGAAUAUUGCAACUUUGUGUUGUUUUAUGAUGAGCCUAUAGUUGUGAUACCAAUAAAACAUGUCACUAGUUUCCAAAGACGGGUCCUCCUUGUUAAAUCUGACAUGGGGGAUGCCUGGU
This 496-nucleotide long non-coding RNA is filed under the name Homo sapiens (human). Its description in RNAcentral is "HSALNT0025955". Lineage: Eukaryota; Metazoa; Chordata; Mammalia; Primates; Hominidae. The record is from RNAcentral.